RNAcentral lists this ribosomal RNA (32 nucleotides) under Duckeodendron cestroides. Its description in RNAcentral is "partial 18S ribosomal RNA". The record is from RNAcentral. Lineage: Eukaryota; Viridiplantae; Streptophyta; Magnoliopsida; Solanales; Solanaceae.
CCGUAGGUGAACCUGCGGAAGGAUCAUUGUCG